This 236-nucleotide unclassified non-coding RNA is filed under the name Hevea brasiliensis (rubber tree). Lineage: Eukaryota; Viridiplantae; Streptophyta; Magnoliopsida; Malpighiales; Euphorbiaceae. The record is from RNAcentral.
GAAAUUCUAUGUUAUUGGUGGAGUUGGAGGAAGUGAGGCUAAGGUUCUUACAUGUGGUGAAGAGUACGAUUUAGAAACUCGAAAAUGGACUGAAAUUCCCAAUAUGUCGCCUGGCCGUAGUGCUGCUGCUAGGGACGGUGAUAUGCCGGCCGCAGCUGAAGCACCGCCUCUUCUUGCUGUGGUGAAUAAUGAACUCUAUGCUGCAGAUCACACUGACAUGGAGGUUAGGAAAUAUG